Molecule: long non-coding RNA, 209 nt
Filed under: Nicotiana benthamiana
Lineage: Eukaryota; Viridiplantae; Streptophyta; Magnoliopsida; Solanales; Solanaceae
Description: long non-coding RNA (NBEN_LNC014118)
Source: RNAcentral
UCGAACAACAGAACCGAAAAUUCUAGGUCCAAAUCGACAUGGCCCAGGACCCUUGAGGUCCUUAGGAAUAUUGAGCAAGGCGAUGAGAGACCCAUUGGAAGACUGGGGUUGGGGGGGGGUUAGCUGGCGAUGGUCGGAGAAGAAGGCGAUUGACAGAGUUUGGAGUUAGGUUAGAGAGAGGAGAAAAUAUGAGAGCAUCUGAAGGCGGC